This 465-nucleotide ribosomal RNA is filed under the name Vreelandella stevensii. RNAcentral's name for it is "partial 16S ribosomal RNA". It matches the Rfam family "Bacterial small subunit ribosomal RNA", at positions 338 to 795 of the family's 1533-position model. The record is from RNAcentral. Lineage: Bacteria; Pseudomonadati; Pseudomonadota; Gammaproteobacteria; Oceanospirillales; Halomonadaceae.
CCUACGGGGGGCUGCAGUGGGGAAUAUUGGACAAUGGGGGCAACCCUGAUCCAGCCAUGCCGCGUGUGUGAAGAAGGCCCCCGGGUUGUAAAGCACUUUCAGUGAGGAAGAACGCCUGGUGGUUAAUACCCAUCAGGAAAGACAUCACUCACAGAAGAAGCACCGGCUAACUCCGUGCCAGCAGCCGCGGUAAUACGGAGGGUGCGAGCGUUAAUCGGAAUUACUGGGCGUAAAGCGCGCGUAGGUGGCUUGAUAAGCCGGUUGUGAAAGCCCCGGGCUCAACCUGGGAACGGCAUCCGGAACUGUCAAGCUAGAGUGCAGGAGAGGAAGGUAGAAUUCCCGGUGUAGCGGUGAAAUGCGUAGAGAUCGGGAGGAAUACCAGUGGCGAAGGCGGCCUUCUGGACUGACACUGACACUGAGGUGCGAAAGCGUGGGUAGCAAACAGGAUUAGAUACCCCGGUAGUC